GCAAUCUUUCCUUCAACCCACUUUGUGAAGGACAAUCUGACUGUUUUACCUGAUGAGUUCCGGAAAUGACCCUGUGGAGUCAAAUAAGAUGUCCUAAGAAGAUGAAAGAUUCUGGCGGUUGGCAGAGGAGAUGCCUAACCUGCAGGAGUACCUGGAGAAAGAGGACAUCGAAAAGAAGCUUCUGAGCCAAACCAAUGAGGAG
Non-coding RNA from Electrophorus electricus (electric eel), 202 nucleotides. The record is from RefSeq and is a predicted model, not a curated record. NCBI's taxonomy places the organism in Eukaryota, Metazoa, Chordata, Actinopteri, Gymnotiformes, Gymnotidae.